This 107-nucleotide transfer RNA is filed under the name Caldisphaera lagunensis DSM 15908. It matches the Rfam family "tRNA". Rfam says of the family: Transfer RNA (tRNA) molecules are approximately 80 nucleotides in length. Their secondary structure includes four short double-helical elements and three loops (D, anti-codon, and T loops). Lineage: Archaea; Thermoproteati; Thermoproteota; Thermoprotei; Acidilobales; Acidilobaceae. The record is from Rfam by way of RNAcentral.
CCCGCCGUAGCUCAGCGGUAGAGCGCCCGGCUGUAGUGGGACAGGGCUGUAUCGGCCUUAUCUUAGCCGAUACCGGGUGGUCCGGGGUUCAAUUCCCCGCGGCGGGA